Molecule: ribosomal RNA, 1189 nt
Filed under: uncultured organism
Description: bacterial SSU rRNA
Rfam family: Bacterial small subunit ribosomal RNA
Source: RNAcentral
ACGUGUAGCUGGUCUGAGAGGAUGAUCAGCCACAUCGGGACUGAGACACUGCCCGGACCUCCACGGAGGGCUGCAGCAACGAAUCAUCCGCAAUGCGCGAAAGCGUGACGGUGCGACGCCGCGUGCGGGACGAAGCCCCUAGGGGUGUAAACCGCUGUCAGGGGAAACCACACCGAUAGGGCAAAUAGUCCUUGAGGUAGAGGGAACCCAGAGGAAGCCACGGCUAACUCUGUGCCAGCAGCCGCGGUAAGACAGAGGUGGCUAGCGUUGCUCGGAGUCACUGGGCUUAAAGGGUGCGUAGGCGGCUUAUCAAGCAUUAUGUGAAAGCCCUCGGCUCAACUGAGGAAUUGCAUAAUGAACUGGUAAGCUUGAGGUGCGUCGGGGCCGGAAGAACUCUGGGUGGAGCGGUGAUAUGCGUAGAUAUCCAGGGGAAUGCCAGUGGCGAAGGCGUCCGGCUAGGCGCAAUCUGACGCUAAGGCACGAAAGCGUGGGUAGCGAACGGGAUUAGAUACCCCGGUAGUCCACGCUGUAAACGUUGUGCACUGGUUUCGGGAACCUCUGACGGGUUCCGGAGCGUAGAAAAAUCGUUAAGUGCACCGCCUGGGGACUACGGCCGCAAGGCUAAAACUCAAAGGAAUUGACGGGGGCUCACACAAGCGGCGGAGCAUGUGGCUUAAUUCGAGGCAACGCGAAGAACCUUACCUGGGUUUGACAUGUACGGAUGCCCCCCUGGAAACAGGGUGUGGUUGCCCUCGUGGUGAAACGUACACAGGUGCUGCAUGGCUGUCGUCAGCUCGUGCCGUGAGGUGUUGGGUUAAGUCCCGUAACGAGCGAAACCCCUAUCUUUAGUUGCCAGUUCCGAUUUACCGGAAGGCACUCUAACGAGACUGCCGGCGUCAAGCCGGAGGAAGGUGGGGACGACGUCAAGUCAUCAUGGCCUUUAUACCCAGGGAUGCACACGUGCUACAAUGCCAGGUACAAAGUGACGCGAAGCCGCGAGGUGGAGCAAAUCGCAAAAAACCUGGCCCAGUUCAGAUUGCAGUCUGCAAUUCGACUGCAUGAAGUCGGAAUCGCUAGUAAUCGCGUAUCAGCAAUGACGCGGUGAAUGUGUUCCUGAGCCUUGUACACACCGCCCGUCAAGCCAUGGAAGCUGGGACCACCCGAAGUCAGCUUAGCGAAUCCCUCGGGA